GUUUGAGGUUCGGUCCGCUUAACUAGUUUUUAUCGAAAUUACAGGCUUUGGACUUUGAUAAUUGUUGAAAAUCACACUUAUACAGACUUUUUUUCAAAACGCUUUCAGAUAUUGGACUGAUUUUGUUUUGGUAUGUGAGUUAACCAUGAUGAGUUACAGAUCAAGUUUGAGUUCCGUUCCGCUUCACUAUUUUUUGUCAAAAUUACGGGCUUUGGACUUUUAAAAAUUGUUGAAAAUCUGAGUUAUAUGGUUUGUUUUAAGGCCAUAAGAUUUUGAGCAGAUUUAGUAUAUGUGAGACUACUAUCUUGUGUGUGUCCGCAUGUGUUCUUGAAUUGCAGAUUUUUCAAAAUUUUGGAACAGGGCCAUUCGUGUCGUUUUGACACAUCUAGUCUUAUUCAAUUCUUUUUAAUUUUUUAAUUUUUAAUUUUUAUUUAUUCAUUUAUUUUUG
RNAcentral lists this long non-coding RNA (448 nucleotides) under Mytilus galloprovincialis (Mediterranean mussel). Lineage: Eukaryota; Metazoa; Mollusca; Bivalvia; Mytilida; Mytilidae. The record is from RNAcentral.